UUUUUUUUUUUUUUUUUUUCUUCCCCUUUUGGUUCAUCAACAUCAUAGAAGGAGCUUUGAGCUUUAUCUCUGAACUUGAAUGAACUCUUUCCCGGCAACCAUUGGUAGUUUCAGAAAUUUGCAUUUCCAAAGUGUUUCUUGUUCCCCUUUCGUUUCUGGGUUUCAUAGAGGAUGCUUAUGAGCCCAAACUCCGGGCGUAAUCGAAGAGUUUUCACUGCCUUUAAUGGCCUGUUCAUAAACUAGAAUCUUUCAGGUGUUCGACAAAAUUUUUCUGAUAUGGGUGUAUAUGAAAAGUUAUCUGGUGAUCAGAGGCUGUUUUAUUAAUUAAGAACUCCACGGCAGCUCCUUUUUUUCAACACAAUAUGGCAAUGAGUUUGACUCGUUUGCAACCGAGUCACAAUCCGGUCAAAAAGCUAAAAUCAAUCCCUCUUCCCGAUAAACCGUGCGAGAUCUUCGCGAUUCUCGCGAGAAUUUUCAUCCUCUUCUGCCUCGUCUCCUCAAUCUCGCUCAUCCUCUACACCACUUUCUUCCCCCAAACCCACUCGCUACAUUUCCCCGCUCCAAAACGGACCGCACCAGAACCCAAGCCUGAACACGAAUUCGGACCCACUAACAUUUCCCAUAUCCUCUUCGGCAUUGGCGGAUCAGCCGCGACAUGGAACGAUCGCAGCCGAUAUAGCUCUCUCUGGUGGGAUGCCAAAAAAACCCGAGGUUUCGUCUGGCUGGACAAAAUUCCUGGUGACAAAAACAACAGCUUCAGAAUAUCGGCACCGCCGUAUCGGCUUUCGUCUCCGGAAUGGACUCGGUUCAAAUUCUCGAGCUCAAGAUCGGCGGUGAGAAUCGCGAGGAUUAUAAGCGAUAGCUUUAAAUUGAAUUUGCCUGACGUGAGGUGGUUCGUGAUGGGAGACGAUGAUACGGUGUAUUUCACAGACAACUUAGUUUCGGUGUUAGCGAAAUAUGAUCACCAUCAGAUGUGGUACAUUGGAGGGAAUUCUGAGAGCGUGGAGCAGGAUGUGAUGCACACAUAUGGUAUGGCAUUUGGUGGUGGAGGAUUCGCCAUCAGCUAUCCGUUGGCGGAGAAAUUGGUCAAAAUAUUGGACGGUUGUCUCGAUCGGUACUAUUAUUUCUACGGCUCUGAUCAGAGGAUAUGGGCGUGUAUCAGUGAGAUCGGUGUGCCGCUCACAAGAGAACAAGGAUUCCACCAGUUCGAUAUUAGAGGGAGUGCAUAUGGUCUUCUGGCAGCACACCCAAUAGCCCCACUUGUAUCCCUCCAUCACCUUGAUUAUGUGGAUUCAUUGUUUCCAUACAAGAACCAAACGGACUCCCUCAAGUCUCUCAACCGUGCAUACCGAUUAGACCCGCCCCGUAUCCUUCAACAAACCUUCUGCCAUGACUACAACCGCAAGUGGUCAAUAUCAAUAGCAUGGGGCUAUACUGUUCAACUUUACCCCUUCUUAUUGCCGGCCAAGGACUUGCAAACGCCAUUGCAGACAUUCAAAACAUGGAGGAGUUGGAGUGCUGGACCAUUCACAUUCAAUACCCAACCCAUGAAGUCCAACCCAUGUGAACUUCCUGUUGUUUUCAUGCUGGAGCAGGCUGAGGAAGUAGGCCAGAGUGGGUCCAUGACUAGUUACCAGAGGCUUGAGCCCAGGCCAGAGAGGAAGUGUAACAGAACAGACUAUGCAGAAGCAAUGUCAUUGCAGGGAAUCAUUGUAUCAGCACUGAAAUUAGACCCAGAAUACUGGACUAAGGAUCAGGCAAGGCGAAGACAGUGCUGUGAUCUUAUGGGAGGCAUAAAGAACAACAAUAUGCAGAUUAGGAUUAGAAAAUGCAGGCCUUGGGAAACUAUUACUACUGAGAGGUAGGUCAGCUCUUUAAUAUUUCUAAUGUAAAUAGUCAAUUUUUACAAUAAUGAACUAGGAAAAAGAUAAAAGUGAGAACAGAAUCCCUUUUUUACAAUUUUUUUGCUGAGGAUUGCAUAUUUUUAUCCGAGCAUCAUAUUCCUAUCAUGCGCUUUUGUGAAAUUAGUGAGCCCCCCAACUCCCUCUUGUUUAUUUUUUUAUUAGUGACACGGAGAAAGAGCAAGAAAGAAAGAAUAGAAAUAGCAAGACUUGUAUUUGCAAUUUUGCAGAUAAUGUCGUUAAUUAAUGGGCUACUUAACCAAUGAGCUUAAUUUAAUUGUACUUAAUGGGCUACUUAACCAAUAGAGUGAAAGCAACUCGACCCACAAAAUGUGAUAAAAGUCUAAGCAAUGAGCGCCACCCAACAAGAAAGUGCAAGAUUUCCAAGCCACCAAAUAGAAGAACUAUGAUUUAUGGAGCACCGAUUAAUAAAAGUGGCCAUUAAUUGUGGAUGGCUCUUGUUGAAUCACCCAAGAUGAGGCAGAAAAGGGCAAAUUGUAGCUUUUCAGUAUUUUAAACAUAGUU
RNAcentral lists this unclassified non-coding RNA (2426 nucleotides) under Hevea brasiliensis (rubber tree). Lineage: Eukaryota; Viridiplantae; Streptophyta; Magnoliopsida; Malpighiales; Euphorbiaceae. The record is from RNAcentral.